Molecule: ribosomal RNA, 700 nt
Filed under: uncultured beta proteobacterium
Lineage: Bacteria; Pseudomonadati; Pseudomonadota; Betaproteobacteria
Description: bacterial SSU rRNA
Rfam family: Bacterial small subunit ribosomal RNA
Source: RNAcentral
CGAACGGCAGCACGGGUGCUUGCACCUGGUGGCGAGUGGCGAACGGGUGAGUAAUACAUCGGAACAUGUCCUGUAGUGGGGGAUAGCCCGGCGAAAGCCGGAUUAAUACCGCAUACGAUCUACGGUUGAAAGCGGGGGACCUUCGGGCCUCGCGCUAUAGGGUUGGCCGAUGGCUGAUUAGCUAGUUGGUGGGGUAAAGGCCUACCAAGGCGACGAUCAGUAGCUGGUCUGAGAGGACGACCAGCCACACUGGGACUGAGACACGGCCCAGACUCCUACGGGAGGCAGCAGUGGGGAAUUUUGGACAAUGGGCGAAAGCCUGAUCCAGCAAUGCCGCGUGUGUGAAGAAGGCCUUCGGGUUGUAAAGCACUUUUGUCCGGAAAGAAAUCCUUGGUUCUAAUAUAGCCGGGGGAUGACGGUACCGGAAGAAUAAGCACCGGCUAACUACGUGCCAGCAGCCGCGGUAAUACGUAGGGUGCGAGCGUUAAUCGGAAUUACUGGGCGUAAAGCGUGCGCAGGCGGUUUGCUAAGACCGAUGUGAAAUCCCCGGGCUCAACCUGGGAACUGCAUUGGUGACUGGCAGGCUGGAGUAUGGCAGAGGGGGGUAGAAUUCCACGUGUAGCAGUGAAAUGCGUAGAGAUGUGGAGGAAUACCGAUGGCGAAGGCAGCCCCCUGGGCCAAUACUGACGCUCAUGCACGA